RNAcentral lists this ribosomal RNA (246 nucleotides) under uncultured bacterium. RNAcentral's name for it is "partial 16S ribosomal RNA". It matches the Rfam family "Bacterial small subunit ribosomal RNA", at positions 524 to 769 of the family's 1533-position model. The record is from RNAcentral.
UACGAGGGGUCCUAGCGUUGUUCGGAAUCAUUGGGCGUAAAGGGUGUGUAGGUGGCUAUGUAAGUCAGGUGUGAAAGCCCCGGGCUCAACCCGGGAAGUGCAUCUGAUACUGCGUAGCUUGAGUACCGAAGAGGAUAGUGGAAUUCCAGGUGUAGUGGUGAAAUACGUAGAUAUCUGGAGGAACACCGGUGGCGAAGGCGGUUCUCUGGGCCUGUACUGACGCUGAGGAGCGAAAGCGUGGGGAGC